AUACUUACCUGGAAGGGGAGAGACCAUGAUCACAAAGGUGGUUUCCACAGAAUGAGGCUUAUCCACUGCACUGCAGAUGUGUCGACCCUGUGAUUUACCCAAAUGCGGAAAACUCAAUUGCAAAAUUUGUGGUGGUGGUGGGAACUGUAUUUGUGCUUCCUCAUG
Small nuclear RNA from Cavia porcellus (domestic guinea pig), 165 nucleotides. Its record names the gene U1. It matches the Rfam family "U1 spliceosomal RNA". Rfam says of the family: U1 is a small nuclear RNA (snRNA) component of the spliceosome (involved in pre-mRNA splicing). Its 5' end forms complementary base pairs with the 5' splice junction, thus defining the 5' donor site of an intron. There are significant differences in sequence and secondary structure between metazoan and yeast U1 snRNAs, the latter being much longer (568 nucleotides as compared to 164 nucleotides in human). NCBI's taxonomy places the organism in Eukaryota, Metazoa, Chordata, Mammalia, Rodentia, Caviidae. The record is from Ensembl.